RNAcentral lists this ribosomal RNA (731 nucleotides) under uncultured bacterium. RNAcentral's name for it is "bacterial SSU rRNA". It matches the Rfam family "Bacterial small subunit ribosomal RNA", at positions 94 to 823 of the family's 1533-position model. The record is from RNAcentral.
ACCGGCGCACGGGUGAGUAACGCGUAUGCAACCUACCUUUAACUGGGGAAUAGCCCAGGGAAACUUGGAUUAAUACCCCAUAAGACAUUAGAAUCGCAUGAUUUAGAUGUUAAAGUUCCGGCGGUUAAAGAUGGGCAUGCGUGCCAUUAGAUAGUUGGUGAGGUAACGGCUCACCAAGUCUUCGAUGGCUACGGGGUCUUAAAGGAUGAUCCCGCACACUGGUACUGAGACACGGACCAGACUCCUACGGGAGGCAGCAGUGAGGAAUAUUGGUCAAUGGGGGCAACCCUGAACAAGCCAUGCCGCGUGCAGGAAGACGGCCCUAUGGGUUGUAAACUGCUUUUGUACGGGAAUAAUGGGUUCUACGUGUAGAGCUAUGAAGGUACCGUACGAAUAAGCAUCGGCUAACUCCGUGCCAGCAGCCGCGGUAAUACGGAGGAUGCAGGCGUUAUCCGGAUUUAUUAGGUUUAAAGGGUGCGCAGGCGGCACAUUAAGUCAGUGGUGAAAGUUUGCAGCUUAACUGUAAAAUUGCCAUUGAUACUGGUGAGCUUGAAUAUGGUAGAGGUAGGCGGAAUGUGUAGUGUAGCGGUGAAAUGCUUAGAUAUUACACAGAACACCAAUUGCGAAGGCAGCUUACUAUGCCACUAUUGACGCUGAGGCACGAAAGCGUGGGGAGCGAACAGGAUUAGAUACCCUGGUAGUCCACGCCGUAAACGAUGAUUACUGGUUGU